GGAGAGAUGGCCGAGGGGUUGAAGGCGCUCGACUCGAAAUCGAGUAGGUGGUGCUGAGCCGCCUCGUGGGUUCGAAUCCCACUCUCUCCGCCA
RNAcentral lists this transfer RNA (93 nucleotides) under Desulfotomaculum sp. RNAcentral describes it as "tRNA-Ser". It matches the Rfam family "tRNA". Rfam says of the family: Transfer RNA (tRNA) molecules are approximately 80 nucleotides in length. Their secondary structure includes four short double-helical elements and three loops (D, anti-codon, and T loops). Further hydrogen bonds mediate the characteristic L-shaped molecular structure. tRNAs have two regions of fundamental functional importance: the anti-codon, which is responsible for specific mRNA codon recognition, and the 3' end, to which the tRNAs corresponding amino acid is attached (by aminoacyl-tRNA synthetases). tRNAs cope with the degeneracy of the genetic code in two manners: having more than one tRNA (with a specific anti-codon) for a particular amino acid; and 'wobble' base-pairing, i.e. permitting non-standard base-pairing at the 3rd anti-codon position. Lineage: Bacteria; Bacillati; Bacillota; Clostridia; Eubacteriales; Desulfotomaculaceae. The record is from RNAcentral.